UAUUGUUCUUCAACGAGGAAUCCCUAGUAAGCACAAGUCAUCAGCUUGUGUUGAUUACGUCCCUGCCCUUUGUACACACCGCCCGUCGCUACUACCGAUUGAAUGGCUUAGUGAGACCCUCGGAUUGGUAUUCAGAAGCUUUAACCGGCAUCUGUUUGCUGAGAAGUUGGUCAAACUUGGUCAUUUAGAGGAAGUAAAAGUCGUAACAAGGUUUCCGUAGGUGAACCUGCGGAAGGAUCAUUAAUGAUUUUUAAAGCGAGUCGAGCGUUAAGCGAGGCUUGCGAAAUAUUUAAAACCCCACUCUUUUUAACCUUAAAAAAUAAAUCAUGAUACAUGAAUUUAAAAAAAAGAUCACUUUCAACAACGGAUCUCUUGGCUCUCGCAUCGAUGAAGAACGCAGCGAAAUGCGAUAAGUAGUGUGAAUUGCAUAAUUUUGUGAAUCAUCGAAUCUUUGAACGCAAAUUGCACUCCCUGGUAUUCCGGGGAGUAUGCCUGUUUGAGGGUCGUUAGAAUAAAAAAUCGAAGCGUCGCUCUUUUUUUUAAGGGUGAUCGCGUCGGAAUUGAGCCGUCUUUCAAAUGUUAAUUCAUGUCAAAGUGGCUUAAAAUUCAUCCACCCGGUACGAUUAAAGCGUAUUUAAGAUCAAUUUUGUUCAAGAACGCGCGAUGAAGUACCAUCUCAUGUAGUACGUUUGACCUGGGUCAUCAGGCUCAUUCGUAUACGAUACUCAAACUUUUGACCUCAAAUCAGGUAAGAAUACCCGCUGAACUUAAGCAUAUCAAUAAGCGGAGGAAAAGAAAAUAACAAUGAUUCCCUCAGUAACGGCGAGCGAAGAGGGAUAAGCUCAAAUUUUAAAUCUGUUGGGUUCCACUUAACAGAGUUGUAUUUUGAAGAAACGUUUUCUGCAUCCAGGAUUAGCCUAAAUCCUUUGGGAUAAGGUAUCAUGGAGGGUGAGAAUCCCGUUCAUGGUUAAUCUUAAGGAAGCUCUACGAUACGUUUUCCAAGAGUCGAGUUGUUUGGGAUUGCAGCUCAAAAUGGGAGGUAAAUUUCUCCUAAGGCUAAAUAUUGGCGAGAGACCGAUAGCGAACAAGUACCGUGAGGGAAAGAUGAAAAGAACUUUGAAAAGAGAGUUAAACAGUACGUGAAAUUGUUGAAAGGGAAACGAUUGAAGUCAGUCAUACCAACGGGAAAUCAACCUUUUGAGCUCGGUCUCGUGGGUUUUGAAGAGUUUCAAAGCCUUCGGAUUCGCGGGAUUGGGAUCUCUCGGUGUACUUUCUCGUACGGUUAGUCAACAUCGGUUUUGAAUGUCAUAAAAUGACUGGAGGAAUGUAGCUUCGAUCUCGUAUUGAAGUGUUAUAGCCUUUGGUAGAUGUGAUGUUUGAGACCGAGGAUUGCAACGGAUACCCUUCAGGGCUAUUCGUCUGAUCUCUGAUACGUUGCCUUGAUGUUGAAAGCUUGCUUAUGAUGUUAGGGUAUUACGGUCAAAAGGUUAGAACGAAUUACAUUCGUUAAGGAUGUUGACGUAAUGACUUUAAACGACCCGUCUUGAAACACGGACCAAGGAGUCUAACAUAUAUGCGAGUGUUAAAGGGNGAAUUCCAGCACACUGGCGGCCGUUACUAGUGGAUCCGAGCUCGGUACCAAGCUUGAUGCAUAGCUUGAGUAUUCUAUAGUGUCACCUA
RNAcentral lists this small RNA (1680 nucleotides) under uncultured Funneliformis. RNAcentral's name for it is "eukaryotic LSU rRNA". The stretch from base 735 to 1680 matches the Rfam family "Eukaryotic large subunit ribosomal RNA", at positions 1 to 767 of the family's 3401-position model. Lineage: Eukaryota; Fungi; Glomeromycota; Glomeromycetes; Glomerales; Glomeraceae. The record is from RNAcentral.